RNAcentral lists this ribosomal RNA (427 nucleotides) under uncultured bacterium. RNAcentral's name for it is "partial 16S ribosomal RNA". It matches the Rfam family "Bacterial small subunit ribosomal RNA", at positions 354 to 796 of the family's 1533-position model. The record is from RNAcentral.
GUGGGGAAUAUUGCGCAAUGGGGGCAACCCUGACGCAGCAAUACCGCGUGAGUGAAGAAGGUUUUCGGAUCGUAAAGCUCUGUUAUUGGGGAAGAAGAAGUGACGGUACCCAAUGAGGAAGUCCCGGCUAACUACGUGCCAGCAGCCGCGGUAAUACGUAGGGGACAAGCGUUGUCCGGAAUCACUGGGCGUAAAGGGCGCGUAGGCGGUUUUUUAAGUCAGAUGUGAAAGGUACCGGCUCAACCGGUGACGUGCAUUUGAAACUGGAAGACUUGAGUACUGGAGAGGCAAGUGGAAUUCCUAGUGUAGCGGUGAAAUGCGUAGAUAUUAGGAGGAACACCGGUGGCGAAGGCGGCUUGCUGGACAGAUACUGACGCUGAGGUGCGAAAGCGUGGGGAGCAAACAGGAUUAGAAACCCCAGUAGUCC